AUGCUAGCAUGUUUCAAAAUAUUUUUGUUCCCAAUUUUUAUUCUUAUUUUUAAGCUUCACUUUAUUUGGAGAUGAGACCCAAAGGGAAAAAUAAAAGCUAGCAGCUGUUUAAUUCCUAGAGCAACUUUAUAGUUUAUAGACCAGGUUCUUGGUCUGUUUGGCCAUGGCAGAAUUUAUGAAAAUCUAAAACAUUAAUGAUGCCUAAAAGGCAGGCUGCCACACAGAGAUGAACACACAGCCUGGUCUGAGAGCAGAAUUAUAGAAACAUGAAACCUCAGCAUUUUGAAGAUCAUUGAAAUAUCAUUUUUGUAUGUGUUCAGAAUAUUUCACAAAUAAUGUUUAGAUGGAGCCCAUAUAAACCCAAUUCACAUUAGAACUGAAGUAUCUUUUCUGUAUAUAAAACUGUUGCAACCAGACAGUAAAAAUAAAAANNNNNNNNNNNNNNNNNNNNNNNNNNNNAAGAAAACACUGUGGAAAAAAUAAAGAAGUAAAAGCAGUAUUAGUAGUGCUUCCUGUCUCUUUUUAUAGUAACAAAAAAUACGAAGCACAGAGAAUUUGAUUAUAUAUGCACAAGAUGUGCUCUUAUGGUAUAUACUUUAUAUCUGCCAUUACAGACCAACAAAGAAUCUUUCACUGUCAAACUGAGUUAGCUCUGGUGCAUAUCAUGGAUGGCUUUAAAGCUAUUUUCCAUUAAUAAUAAGGUAUUUAAAAUAUGAAAAUAAAUGAUUACAGUAUAUACCACUGGAGCUUUCAGUUUGCUGUUUUCUGUGAAUUAAAUCCUAUUUAUAAGGUGGUGUUAUCCAAAGUGAAAGGGAAGAAAAUGAUCCAGAAAAUCAGGAAUGUUUUCACAUUCACAACUGAAAACCUCAUUUUCUCCAAUGAAGUGAGUCAGCACUUUAGAAUUAAAAAUUCUACUAUGCUCAAGAUACAUUUUAAAUGGGGGUCACUCAGUAAAGUGAAAAGUGCAGUGUAUUUGCAUUUCAGUGUCCUUGGACUCUCUCAGGUGUGGGAGCUGAGUGAUGAGUAG
Molecule: long non-coding RNA, 1027 nt
Filed under: Capra hircus (goat)
Lineage: Eukaryota; Metazoa; Chordata; Mammalia; Artiodactyla; Bovidae
Description: lncRNA (ENSCHIG00010019639.1)
Source: RNAcentral